This is a small nuclear RNA of Cynocephalus volans (Philippine flying lemur), 112 nucleotides long. NCBI's taxonomy places the organism in Eukaryota, Metazoa, Chordata, Mammalia, Dermoptera, Cynocephalidae. The record is from RefSeq and is a predicted model, not a curated record.
GUAUUCAUUGAUUGCUCCACAACACGUCUGCUAAAUUGGAAUGCUACACAGAAUAUUAGCAUGGCCCCUACACAAGGAUAACACAAAACUUAUUGAAGCAUUCCAUAUUUUG